GUCGUACGCUUCUUUUUCCACCGGAGCUUGCUCCACCGGAAAAAGAAGAGUGGCGAACGGGUGAGUAACACGUGGGUAACCUGCCCAUCAGAAGGGGAUAACACUUGGAAACAGGUGCUAAUACCGUAUAACAAUCGAAACCGCAUGGUUUUGAUUUGAAAGGCGCUUUCGGGUGUCGCUGAUGGAUGGACCCGCGGUGCAUUAGCUAGUUGGUGAGGUAACGGCUCACCAAGGCCACGAUGCAUAGCCGACCUGAGAGGGUGAUCGGCCACAUUGGGACUGAGACACGGCCCAAACUCCUACGGGAGGCAGCAGUAGGGAAUCUUCGGCAAUGGACGAAAGUCUGACCGAGCAACGCCGCGUGAGUGAAGAAGGUUUUCGGAUCGUAAAACUCUGUUGUUAGAGAAGAACAAGGAUGAGAGUAACUGUUCAUCCCUUGACGGUAUCUAACCAGAAAGCCACGGCUAACUACGUGCCAGCAGCCGCGGUAAUACGUAGGUGGCAAGCGUUGUCCGGAUUUAUUGGGCGUAAAGCGAGCGCAGGCGGUUUCUUAAGUCUGAUGUGAAAGCCCCCGGCUCAACCGGGGAGGGUCAUUGGAAACUGGGAGACUUGAGUGCAGAAGAGGAGAGUGGAAUUCCAUGUGUAGCGGUGAAAUGCGUAGAUAUAUGGAGGAACACCAGUGGCGAAGGCGGCUCUCUGGUCUGUAACUGACGCUGAGGCUCGAAAGCGUGGGGAGCAAACAGGAUUAGAUACCCUGGUAGUCCACGCCGUAAACGAUGAGUGCUAAGUGUUGGAGGGUUUCCGCCCUUCAGUGCUGCAGCUAACGCAUUAAGCACUCCGCCUGGGGGAGUACGACCGCAAGGUUGAAACUCAAAGGAAUUGACGGGGGCCCGCACAAGCGGUGGAGCAUGUUGGUUUAAUUCGAAGCAACGCGAAGAACCUUACCAGGUCUUGACAUCCUUUGACCACUCUAGAAGAUAGAGCUUCCCCUUCGGGGGCAAAG
This 1003-nucleotide ribosomal RNA is filed under the name Enterococcus lactis. RNAcentral's name for it is "bacterial SSU rRNA". It matches the Rfam family "Bacterial small subunit ribosomal RNA", at positions 61 to 1031 of the family's 1533-position model. The record is from RNAcentral. Lineage: Bacteria; Bacillati; Bacillota; Bacilli; Lactobacillales; Enterococcaceae.